This 268-nucleotide non-coding RNA is filed under the name Pteridomonas danica. The record is from RNAcentral. Lineage: Eukaryota; Dictyochophyceae; Pedinellales.
AAUGUCUAUCUUUUUUCCAUUGUUUCUUUUCCCAGUUUAACCCCUUGAUUGUUUUCAAUAUCUCUCUCUCUUCUGAAGCUGUUGUCUCUGGAGAAUCGAGCUCGAGAGCUCCAAAUGCUGCUUGGAAUAGACCAUUGAUCGGACACACCCCGAACUUUUUAUCUCUUUUCUUAUUUAGCCCUCCAUAAAACCUCGAAUAAAGGUUUUUUGGCGGUAAAUAUUCGCAAUAACUUUUUUCGUAUAUCCGGGGAGUGUUUAAUUUAAGUUU